This 351-nucleotide ribosomal RNA is filed under the name Hygrotus semivittatus. Its description in RNAcentral is "partial 12S ribosomal RNA". Lineage: Eukaryota; Metazoa; Arthropoda; Insecta; Coleoptera; Dytiscidae. RNAcentral also lists the same sequence under 1 other name. The record is from RNAcentral.
UUAAAAUGUAAAUUUUAUUAUUAAAGUAGUAUUAGUUAUGAUCUUGAAAUUUAAAGAUUUUGGCGGUGUUUUAGUCUAUUUAGAGGAACCUGUUCUGUAAUUGAUAGUCCACGAAUAAUCAUACUUUAUUUAAUUAAUUUGUAUAUCGUUGUUAUUAAGUAUUUUAAAAGAAAUUGAAUAUUUAGAUUUUUUAAUAAAAAUAUAUUUCAGAUCAAGGUGCAGUUUAUAAUAAAGAAGAAAUGGGUUACAAUAAAAUUAUUUAUGCGGAUUUAUAUAUUAAAAUAAUAAAGAAGAUGGAUUUAAUAGUAAUAAUAUUAAUAUAAAUUUUAUGAUUUAAGCUCUAAAAUGUGU